GGUUAAGCGACUAAGCGUACACGGUGGAUGCCCUGGCAGUCAGAGGCGAUGAAGGACGUGCUAAUCUGCGAUAAGCGUCGGUAAGGUGAUAUGAACCGUUAUAACCGGCGAUUUCCGAAUGGGGAAACCCAGUGUGAUUCGUCACACUAUCAUUAACUGAAUCCAUAGGUUAAUGAGGCGAACCGGGGGAACUGAAACAUCUAAGUACCCCGAGGAAAAGAAAUCAACCGAGAUUCCCCCAGUAGCGGCGAGCGAACGGGGAGCAGCCCAGAGCCUGAAUCAGUGUGUGUGUUAGUGGAAGCGUCUGGAAAGGCGCGCGAUACAGGGUGACAGCCCCGUACACAAAAAUGCACAUACUGUGAGCUCGAUGAGUAGGGCGGGACACGUGGUAUCCUGUCUGAAUAUGGGGGGACCAUCCUCCAAGGCUAAAUACUCCUGACUGACCGAUAGUGAACCAGUACCGUGAGGGAAAGGCGAAAAGAACCCCGGCGAGGGGAGUGAAAAAGAACCUGAAACCGUGUACGUACAAGCAGUGGGAGCACGCUUAGGCGUGUGACUGCGUACCUUUUGUAUAAUGGGUCAGCGACUUAUAUUCUGUAGCAAGGUUAACCGAAUAGGGGAGCCGAAGGGAAACCGAGUCUUAACUGGGCGUUAAGUUGCAGGGUAUAGACCCGAAACCCGGUGAUCUAGCCAUGGGCAGGUUGAAGGUUGGGUAACACUAACUGGAGGACCGAACCGACUAAUGUUGAAAAAUUAGCGGAUGACUUGUGGCUGGGGGUGAAAGGCCAAUCAAACCGGGAGAUAGCUGGUUCUCCCCGAAAGCUAUUUAGGUAGCGCCUCGUGAAUUCAUCUCCGGGGGUAGAGCACUGUUUCGGCAAGGGGGUCAUCCCGACUUACCAACCCGAUGCAAACUGCGAAUACCGGAGAAUGUUAUCACGGGAGACACACGGCGGGUGCUAACGUCCGUCGUGAAGAGGGAAACAACCCAGACCGCCAGCUAAGGUCCCAAAGUCAUGGUUAAGUGGGAAACGAUGUGGGAAGGCCCAGACAGCCAGGAUGUUGGCUUAGAAGCAGCCAUCAUUUAAAGAAAGCGUAAUAGCUCACUGGUCGAGUCGGCCUGCGCGGAAGAUGUAACGGGGCUAAACCAUGCACCGAAGCUGCGGCAGCGACGCUGAUGCGUUGUUGGGUAGGGGAGCGUUCUGUAAGCCUGCGAAGGUGUGCUGUGAGGCAUGCUGGAGGUAUCAGAAGUGCGAAUGCUGACAUAAGUAACGAUAAAGCGGGUGAAAAGCCCGCUCGCCGGAAGACCAAGGGUUCCUGUCCAACGUUAAUCGGGGCAGGGUGAGUCGACCCCUAAGGCGAGGCCGAAAGGCGUAGUCGAUGGGAAACAGGUUAAUAUUCCUGUACUUGGUGUUACUGCGAAGGGGGGACGGAGAAGGCUAUGUUGGCCGGGCGACGGUUGUCCCGGUUUAAGCGUGUAGGCUGGUUUUCCAGGCAAAUCCGGAAAAUCAAGGCUGAGGCGUGAUGACGAGGCACUACGGUGCUGAAGCAACAAAUGCCCUGCUUCCAGGAAAAGCCUCUAAGCAUCAGGUAACAUCAAAUCGUACCCCAAACCGACACAGGUGGUCAGGUAGAGAAUACCAAGGCGCUUGAGAGAACUCGGGUGAAGGAACUAGGCAAAAUGGUGCCGUAACUUCGGGAGAAGGCACGCUGAUAUGUAGGUGAAGUCCCUCGCGGAUGGAGCUGAAAUCAGUCGAAGAUACCAGCUGGCUGCAACUGUUUAUUAAAAACACAGCACUGUGCAAACACGAAAGUGGACGUAUACGGUGUGACGCCUGCCCGGUGCCGGAAGGUUAAUUGAUGGGGUCAGCGCAAGCGAAGCUCUUGAUCGAAGCCCCGGUAAACGGCGGCCGUAACUAUAACGGUCCUAAGGUAGCGAAAUUCCUUGUCGGGUAAGUUCCGACCUGCACGAAUGGCGUAAUGAUGGCCAGGCUGUCUCCACCCGAGACUCAGUGAAAUUGAACUCGCUGUGAAGAUGCAGUGUACCCGCGGCAAGACGGAAAGACCCCGUGAACCUUUACUAUAGCUUGACACUGAACAUUGAGCCUUGAUGUGUAGGAUAGGUGGGAGGCUUUGAAGUGUGGACGCCAGUCUGCAUGGAGCCGACCUUGAAAUACCACCCUUUAAUGUUUGAUGUUCUAACGUUGACCCGUGAUCCGGGUUGCGGACAGUGUCUGGUGGGUAGUUUGACUGGGGCGGUCUCCUCCUAAAGAGUAACGGAGGAGCACGAAGGUUGGCUAAUCCUGGUCGGACAUCAGGAGGUUAGUGCAAUGGCAUAAGCCAGCUUGACUGCGAGCGUGACGGCGCGAGCAGGUGCGAAAGCAGGUCAUAGUGAUCCGGUGGUUCUGAAUGGAAGGGCCAUCGCUCAACGGAUAAAAGGUACUCCGGGGAUAACAGGCUGAUACCGCCCAAGAGUUCAUAUCGACGGCGGUGUUUGGCACCUCGAUGUCGGCUCAUCACAUCCUGGGGCUGAAGUAGGUCCCAAGGGUAUGGCUGUUCGCCAUUUAAAGUGGUACGCGAGCUGGGUUUAGAACGUCGUGAGACAGUUCGGUCCCUAUCUGCCGUGGGCGCUGGAGAACUGAGGGGGGCUGCUCCUAGUACGAGAGGACCGGAGUGGACGCAUCACUGGUGUUCGGGUUGUCAUGCCAAUGGCACUGCCCGGUAGCUAAAUGCGGAAGAGAUAAGUGCUGAAAGCAUCUAAGCACGAAACUUGCCCCGAGAUGAGUUCUCCCUGACUCCUUGAGAGUCCUGAAGGAACGUUGAAGACGACGACGUUGAUAGGCCGGGUGUGUAAGCGCAGCGAUGCGUUGAGCUAACCGGUACUAAUGAACCGUGAGGCUUAACCUUAC
Molecule: ribosomal RNA, 2906 nt
Filed under: Escherichia coli W
Lineage: Bacteria; Pseudomonadati; Pseudomonadota; Gammaproteobacteria; Enterobacterales; Enterobacteriaceae
Description: bacterial LSU rRNA
Rfam family: Bacterial large subunit ribosomal RNA
Source: RNAcentral